GGAAGAGCCAUAGCACAGUGGUAGAGCAUCUGCCUUCCAUGUAGAAGGUCCCAGGUUCAAUCCCCACCACCUCCU
This is a non-coding RNA of Podarcis lilfordi (Lilford's wall lizard), 75 nucleotides long. Lineage: Eukaryota; Metazoa; Chordata; Lepidosauria; Squamata; Lacertidae. The record is from the annotation of a GenBank genome assembly.